UGAGAUUUCUACCUCUAUUUAUAGGCAAAACUUAAACCUCCUUAAGAUCAAGUGGCCUUACUUUACAACCUAUGCUUAGUUGUUUACAACUCGUUCUUAGUUGUCAUCAAGUGGAUUUGUUUACAACUUUCCUUGCAAGUUGUCGCCAACUCGAUCUUAGCUUGCAUAGAAGAUAUUAUUCUUGCCAACUCGUGCUUAGCUUGCACCUUUGAUAAUAUCUUCGCCAACUCGCGCUUAGCUCGUAUCUUUGAUAAUAUCUUGCAAGUGGCACAAGUGGACAAGUUGUGCAAGUUGCCUACUUGCACCCCAAAAUAUCCCGCUGCAGGUUCAUGUAUUUUUCCUCCAAAAUGGCGGGGUCGGGAUCUAGAAAAACCUCAUGAAAGUCCCGAAAAGUUGCACCAUUUUAGGCAGCCUGCAUUCUGCCCAUUCCAUCCUAUUGCAGCGUGCGGUUCACGCUAUUUUGCGGCCACUACCGGGAUGGAUCGAACGCGACCGCGUGGAGCGUAAGUCA
This 511-nucleotide long non-coding RNA is filed under the name Olea europaea (common olive). Its description in RNAcentral is "long non-coding RNA (OEUR_LNC006593)". Lineage: Eukaryota; Viridiplantae; Streptophyta; Magnoliopsida; Lamiales; Oleaceae. The record is from RNAcentral.